Long non-coding RNA from Pongo pygmaeus (Bornean orangutan), 1342 nucleotides. RefSeq lists it as uncharacterized. The record is from RefSeq and is a predicted model, not a curated record. The transcript has 2 exons. NCBI's taxonomy places the organism in Eukaryota, Metazoa, Chordata, Mammalia, Primates, Hominidae.
GUGCAGCUCCGAGGCCUUGGCCCGGGUCAGGACCAUCUUCCGUGUCAGCUUCAUGGCGGCCGCCCAGGCCCGACAGGCGGGCGCCCCCGGCCUCCUGCUCCCGGGCGGGUGACGACUGCGCGGCGCGUGUCUCCAGGGGCGGGGCCCGCGUCGUCAGGGGCGGAUCCUGAGCCCAUUGGCGGCUCAGUGAGGAGAGCUGGGCGGCGGGAGCGCGCAGGGGCCGCUUGGGCACCGCUGACACGUUGGCUCUGCUCCUGCUCAUGCGCGGCCUGGGGCGCCCGGCUCUGACGCGAUUCCAAUGCGACCCCGGAAGCGCGCGGCGAGCAGAGGGUGGGUGCAGGUGGCGGUCCCCGAGUCGUCCCAGUGAGGGCUGAACUGCUGCUCCCAGGAACCGAGCGGGGUGGGCUCGGUCCCACGCGCAUCAUGGCCGAGUGCCUAGGCCUGACUCUGAGCGCAGGCCUAGCGUGGAUGGGAUGGGCGCUAGGCAGCUCCAAGUUACGCGAUUCAAACUCUUGGAAUAAACCCAGGGCAGCCCCGGGGCUGUGUUGUUUCCUUGUCUCCCUCCCUCCCAGCAUUUACAGAAAAGACGCAUUUAUAGGAAAGACGCACGGGCAGGUCCAGCAGAGCCCUUACAAGCAUUUCAGCCUUUUAUAAAUCAGGUUUCUUGCACGUCUGACACGGAUGGAUCCAGCUAGAUGUCUUGCCAACAGCUCCUGUGGCCCCACCCAGAAGCCAUGCAGCACAAAAGGACCAAAAGGACAGUUAGAUUUCAUCUGGCACCUAACCAAUCAGCACUCCCCAUGCCCUAGCCCCGUGCUCACCAAACUACCUUUGAACAACCCCUAACCUAUGAGCCUUCAGUUGUAACCAAGCAGCUUAGCAGCUGUGAAUCCAAAAUAUCUGAGACAGGUCUCAAUCAGUUUAGAAAGUUUAUUUUGUCAAGGUUAAGGACAAGCCCAUGACACGGCCUCAGGAGGUCCUGACGACAUGUGCCCUGGGUGGCUGGGGCACAGCUUGUUUUCAUACAUUUUUAGGGAGACCUGAGACAUCAAUCAAUAUGUGUAAGAUGGAAAAAGAAGAGAAAAAGAAGAAAAAAAUAUAUGUAUAAGAUGUACAUUAGGCCGGGCGCGGUGGCUCACGCCUAUAAUCCCAACACUUUGGGAGGCUGAGGCAGGUGGAUUGCCUGAGGUCAGGAGUUCGAGACCAGCCUGGCCAACAUAGUGAAACCCCGUCUCUACUAAAAAUACAAAAAAUUAGCUGGGCGCGGUGGUGGGUUUCACUUGCAUCCAUGUGAAGAGACCGCCAAACAGGCUUUGUGAGAGCAAUAAAGCUGUUUAUUUCA